AACGAACGCUGGCGGCAUGCCUAACACAUGCAAGUCGAACGAGACCUUCGGGUCUAGUUGCGCACGGGUGCGUAACGCGUGGGAACCUGCCCUUAGGUUCGGAAUAACUCCCCGAAAGGGGUGCUAAUACCGGAUAAUGUCUUCGGACCAAAGAUUUAUCGCCUUUGGAUGGGCCCGCGUUGGAUUAGCUAGUUGGUAGGGUAAAAGCCUACCAAGGCGACGAUCCAUAGCUGGUCUGAGAGGAUGAUCAGCCACACUGGGACUGAGACACGGCCCAGACUCCUACGGGAGGAAGCAGUGGGGAAUAUUGGACAAUGGGCGAAAGCCUGAUCCAGCAAUGCCGCGUGAGUGAUGAAGGCCUUAGGGUUGUAAAGCUCUUUUACCCGGGAUGAUAAUGACAGUACCGGGAGAAUAAGCUCCGGCUAACUCCGUG
RNAcentral lists this ribosomal RNA (433 nucleotides) under uncultured bacterium. Its description in RNAcentral is "partial 16S ribosomal RNA". It matches the Rfam family "Bacterial small subunit ribosomal RNA", at positions 29 to 507 of the family's 1533-position model. The record is from RNAcentral.